GCGCGAUACAGGGUGACAGCCCCGUACACAAAAGCGCAUGUGCUGUGAGCUCGAUGAGUAGGGCGGGACACGUGGUAUCCUGUCUGAAUAUGGGGGGACCAUCCUCCAAGGCUAAAUACUCCUGACUGACCGAUAGUGAACCAGUACCGUGAGGGAAAGGCGAAAAGAACCCCGGCGAGGGGAGUGAAAAAGAACCUGAAACCGUGUACGUACAAGCAGUGGGAGCACAGGUUUACCUGUGUGAC
Molecule: ribosomal RNA, 245 nt
Filed under: Salmonella enterica subsp. enterica serovar Typhimurium
Lineage: Bacteria; Pseudomonadati; Pseudomonadota; Gammaproteobacteria; Enterobacterales; Enterobacteriaceae
Description: partial 23S ribosomal RNA
Rfam family: Bacterial large subunit ribosomal RNA
Source: RNAcentral